CUACGGGGGGCAGCAGUGGGGAAUAUUGCACAAUGGGGGGAACCCUGAUGCAGCAGCGCCGCGUGGAGGAUGACGCAUCUCGGUGUGUAAACUCCCUUUAUAUGUCAAGAAAAUGACGGUAGCAUAUGAAUAAGCACCGGCUAACUCCGUGCCAGCAGCCGCGGUAAUACGGAGGGUGCAAGCGUUACUCGGAAUCACUGGGCGUAAAGGACGCGUAGGCGGGUUGGAAAGUCAGGUGUGAAAUCCUACAGCUUAACUGUAGAACUGCACUUGAAACUUCUAAUCUAGAGUAUGGGAGGGGGAGAUGGAAUUAGUGGUGUAGGGGUAAAAUCCGUAGAUAUCACUAGGAAUACCUAAAGCGAAGGCGAUCUCCUGGAACAUUACUGACGCUAAGGCGUGAAAGCGUGGGGAGCAAACAGGAUUAGAUACCCGCGUAGUC
Molecule: ribosomal RNA, 439 nt
Filed under: uncultured bacterium
Lineage: Bacteria
Description: partial 16S ribosomal RNA
Rfam family: Bacterial small subunit ribosomal RNA
Source: RNAcentral